AACCUCCCUCCCUCUUCUCCGUUGCUCACCCCUCCCUCUCCUCUUUCUCUGUGUCCCCAGACGUUGUUGGACAACACCUCCUAGUAUUCUUUCACUAUGAGUCACAUUUUAGAGAGAAGUGGGGAUCACAAAACACUGGUUGGGGAAUGCUACACUAGAUGGGAGGCCACAGAGAAUCUACCUCAAAGAAACUUCUACUGGUGGCGUAAGGAGGGAACAGCAUUCUUCUAUGAGAUCACUGGGUUGGUGACAAUAUUAAAAGGCUAAUGUACCGCAAGUCUGAGGAACUAGUUGCAGACAGAGGGUAUAGCGCAACUACACACCCCUUUCCAUAAAUCCAGUUGAGCAAGGACUUUAUUUGCUUCUAUAAAGAUAUUACUGGCUCAGCUGGCUCCUGAGACAUUGAACCCCAUUCAUAUAAAGAUCAACAGGUAGAAUCCUACAUAGAAGUACACAUGACUGAAAAAGGGAGAUAUUUAUGUACAAAUAUAAUGAUCCUGGUGGUUGAAUGCACAGGGCAACGGGGAAAUGAGAAUUAAUGCACUUUUCUGCUGUGUUUUAAAGCUAAGAUUUAUUAUUUCGGUGGCAGGAAAUUUAAAUAAAUAUGUCAUAUUGUGUUUUCUCCGCACAAUCGGCUGCAGUAAUUAGCACAAAUAGCUCGUGUUCAGCAAUAAGUGAGGAAAUGCUUAAAUUGUCCGAUCAAUAGAACAUUCUCACAGCCGCGUACUUGGGGAAAUACCAGCAAAAACUAAUUAUCUUCAUAUGCAGUAACAAAACAGAAAACCUCACAAUCCUCCCUCAUUAGUGACACUGAUUGGAACAGAGAGCAGGCUCAGCCCAAGGCAAGGGGGUAAUGCAUAAAACUAACGAGGAGGAAAUCACCCAGAGCAUUAGGGCUAGUCCACACGGGGAGAUAGCCACGCGUUUGCGGUCGCGGCAACA
Xenopus laevis (African clawed frog) is the source of this 942-nucleotide long non-coding RNA. RefSeq lists it as uncharacterized. The record is from RefSeq and is a predicted model, not a curated record. The transcript is spliced from 3 exons. NCBI's taxonomy places the organism in Eukaryota, Metazoa, Chordata, Amphibia, Anura, Pipidae.